This 1202-nucleotide long non-coding RNA is filed under the name Schistocerca americana (American grasshopper). RNAcentral's name for it is "uncharacterized LOC124553912". Lineage: Eukaryota; Metazoa; Arthropoda; Insecta; Orthoptera; Acrididae. The record is from RNAcentral.
AUGUGCAAAUAGUAGUACAACACGCAUGUACAAUGUUCAUGAAACUUAUCAAAAUGCAUCACAUCUCCUAUUUUAAACAAGCGAAGUAUAAGACUUAUGCGGCUAUAAAUAUUCGGUAACUGCCGAUUGCUGACUGUGUUAUUAAAAGCAAAUGAGAACCGCUACACUUUCUCAGCCAGUGUAUCAGGGUGCCAUCUGUCGGUGACGUCUGGCAACACUGCUGUCCGGAGCUUCUCACUAAAUGAUUUGAAUUCUUCAUAUUUGAUUUCAGUUAGUAGUUAGAAGCCCUAAAGGCAGAUGUUGGAUAAGCAGUUUAUUCGUUUCAGCUGUUUUUGUUCUGCUCUUAUAAACGCAUGUAUCUUCCAAUUCUUUAUGACGAGAAUCAUCAUACUUUGCAAUAUUUGUGGUAAAAUGUUCUACAUAGUCAACCAUUCGAAGCGCUCGGUAUGACAUUUCAGGAUUAGAUCUAUAUGACGUCAAUUUUUGAAUGGUGCGGGCGUUGUUGCCCGCGCUACCAUAUAAAAUGAACGACAAGGUUAAGUUGUAAAUUGGUAAUCAGUAAUUAGUUUACUGAUUGGUGUCGCAGUUAACGAAUUCGUUAGCAACUGUUGUCCCUCUCCUAUUUCGGCGAUUUCUGCUAUUAAUCACCGUACAUGUUACACGGGCAUUCGUCGCAAAUGAGACUUGCCCACAGGCAAAAUUUCAACUAAAGAAUCAGUAUGAAGUAUAUAUUACCUACGUUCUUCCUUUGGCUUUAAUUUAAAUUGUCAGUUUAGUUUACAUUAAUAGUGUUAUGUCGAGAAUCAUAACAGAAAUUACCACACAGUACCAUAGGAGUUCAUGUUUAGAAUAUGGAUUCUAAACACUUUUUUUACGCCUUCACAAGUAUCUGAACCACAAUGUAAGUCAGUCGAUGUAGCGAUAAUUCGAAAUAUCAGUGAAAAGGGAACUGGAAAAGUUGUCACAUCGUCUUUACACAGUCUUCGUCAGAAGUAAGACACAGUUCCCAUUUGGAUUAGUGGAUGCUGCAUGUACCCAGCCACAUCUAGAAGAGAUAAUCGCGAAGAUUCAAAAUGACUCUUGAAGAAUUCCCAGAGCCAUAGUUGAUAAUAAAGUGUGCAAAAUGAGUAUUGGUACAGUGCGUAACUGAAGACAUUAUGUAAUUAGAAAGGGAUGAUAAAUAAAUGUGAACUAUACUGUAA